UUAAAGUAUUGAUUUUAUUCAUAUAAUAAAGUUAUAAAUUAAAAACAUUCCCGAACGCCAAUAAUCACAGUCAGUCAACCCCUGCCACCUGGUGGACAAAACAUGAACUGCACGCAGUAUAUAUAUAUUUUUUUUGUGGCCAGGAACGCAAAUAGAUUCGAGGUGAAUUUCGGCUGGGCUCUAUUGGCAGAAAACUGUAUUCAAACGCAUAUGUAUAAAUAAAACUAGUAUAGUGUAGUGCCGGAGGAAAAGGAGGACGUAGGCAACUUAAUUAUAACUGUUUAUUCCAAUAAAGCAGAACAGAACAAUCAGUCACAGUGCAUGGUACGUACUCUAGUGCAACACUCUAAAGCGUCCCCCUAGCCCCGUGACUCCUAACCAGUUCCCUCCCACUCGAUUCGUAAGAGGGGAACACGAACCUAUAAUGUAGUCACUACCAUGGUCACUACAAUAGCAACGUUACCCAUAUACUGCAACGUUAUGCAGUAUAUUUUUGGUGGCGAGGAAGGCGAUUUCAUACGAGUUGAACUUCGGUCAAGAUCUAUAAACACAACUGUAUCUAUUACUAGAUUUUUGGGCUCAUCUUCAAAUAAAGAUAUAAACUCUAAAUCCAAAUUUGCAUUCAAAUUGCUAAUCCGAGAUUGCUGUUCAGCAAUUUUACAGGCUGAAAUAAAACAGCAACACCACUAUUGGUAUGAUUUUGAGUUUAUUCAUAGAAUAAAGUUACAAAUGAAAAAUAUUCCCACGCACACACAGUUCAGGUCAGGUGACCCUCCAUCCUCCGUUGUCAGGUCGGAGGUCACUUGCUGGUGGGCUUGUAUGGGUCGGACCAGACCUUGACCCAUACAGCGCCACAGGGAAACAACAAAGACAAACGGUAAACGGACUGCAUUUAUACAGCGCCUUUCUAACUAGUGGCCACUCAGUGCUUUACAAAAUAGGCUAACAUUCACCCAUUCACACAGCGAUGGUAGAGUCAACCACGCAGGGCGACAGCCAGCUCCUCAGGAGCAGUCAGGGUGAGGCCUCUCGCCCAGGGACACCUCCACACUCCUGAGCCACAUACCGCCCGAGAGAUGAGAUUAGAACCAACUCACGCAGCAGUGCAGAACGUUGCCGGUUCAAUUUGCACGAUUGACCACUGUGUGCUCUUAGCCCAAAGCCAUUUCAGCCUAGAUAUAUGAUGGAUAGAUCAGUCACACACAACACUAAGGGGGACGGUGCUGAAAUGGGCCUCUAGAUAAGAAGGUCAGGUUAUGCAAAGGACUACAAUGACGAGCAUCAAAUCAGACUACAGAGGCAAAAGUACAAGAAAGCAAGACAUCGGCGAUCACAACUGACUCAAAAACACACCCUCUCAGCACUAUAACAACGCGUGUGAAUGUUGUCACCAAUUACAUUUUUCCAUCCCAGUAUGCUUGGUACAUUGCCAAGGAGGCACCGUUUGACUUCACUGUUAAAGACAUGCCUGUCCUCAGAAAAUGGUGGUGCACAGUACUGCUUGAGAACUUCCAUCUGGAUGGGCACGGCAGAAGGUUCCCACACUUCAUGGAGGAGGCCAAACAAAUGGCGGCUGAACUACUUCCACCAGUCUUCAGACUGAAGCGAAAAAUAGAAUAUAUAUAUAUAUUAGAUAGAUAUAUUACAGAUAUAACAGAGUUGUGGGUCACUUUACUCACCAAUGUCAUGGAGAACUUCGGUUAAAUGGUUCAAGACGAGACCGAGAAAACAUUCCACGUUUAGUUUAGUCUGAUGAAACAACGAAUCAAAGUUUAAUUAAUUCUAAUGAGAAAACAGCAGAGCAAUGGAAAGUGAACCUCAGCUCAGUCUAAAGUAAAGUUAGUGAACCUCAGGUUCGCCAACGUGUAACUUUUUCUCGACGACAGGUUUCGUUUCUCAGGUGUGUGAGCUCCUCCUUAAAGGGGAAGUGUAAUGUUACAUGCAUUCUGUUUAAGGGGUUCUGGAGCCUCCUGUGGGCCACUGAGUAGAAUUCAUACUAUUCUUGUGUAUUUUGAUGUUUGCGUUCUCAUUGGUUGUUUAAAGUCCCAUGUUGUUAGUUUAUUGAUUAGUAAAGAGGUAAACAGCCAUGUCCCUGUAAGGCCAGCUAAGUUCAAGAUCCCUCUUUUCAUUUGGCUCCAUCUGCCCGUUGAAGCCUUGGAGAAGCUUUGUUUGUGAUUUAUUAGUUCAAUAUUUAUAGGAAUUAUUUAUGCUUGAAUUUCAUAAUAUCUAUUUAUUUUAUUUCAUAGUCAUUUUUGCAUUGGUAUAUUUAAAGUUUCACACUAUCAGAAACAACUUGGACACAAGGGAAUGCUACACCUUCAAUAAAUGGACGUACAAGUGCAAGUUGACCCCAGACGUCGUGCUGCCUCGUCAUUGAAGCUACCUAGCGUUACUUCAGUCAAGAUAAGAGUGUAUAGCUAUCUGGUGAUGGGUGCCUCGCUACCCGCUAAGGGGCCGGAAUAGGAAGCCUUCACGACUACAAACAUGCUCCUCCUUAAA
Gadus chalcogrammus (walleye pollock) is the source of this 2499-nucleotide long non-coding RNA. RefSeq lists it as uncharacterized. NCBI's taxonomy places the organism in Eukaryota, Metazoa, Chordata, Actinopteri, Gadiformes, Gadidae. The transcript is spliced from 3 exons. The record is from RefSeq and is a predicted model, not a curated record.